Molecule: ribosomal RNA, 506 nt
Filed under: uncultured bacterium
Lineage: Bacteria
Description: partial 16S ribosomal RNA
Rfam family: Bacterial small subunit ribosomal RNA
Source: RNAcentral
AGUGAACGCUGGCGGUAGGCCUAACACAUGCAAGUCGAACGGCAGCACAGGAGAGCUUGCUCUCUGGGUGGCGAGUGGCGGACGGGUGAGGAAUACAUCGGAAUCUACUUUUUCGUGGGGGAUAACGUAGGGAAACUUACGCUAAUACAGCAUACGACCUACGGGUGAAAGCAGGGGACCUUCGGGCCUUGCGCGAUUGAAUGAGCCGACGUCGGAUUAGCUAGUUGGCGGGGUAAAGGCCCACCAAGGCGACGAUCCGUAGCUGGUCUGAGAGGAUGAUCAGCCACACCGGAACUGAGACACGGUCCAGACUCCUACGGGAGGCAGCAGUGGGGAAUAUUGGACAAUGGGCGCAAGCCUGAUCCAGCCAUACCGCGUGGGUGAAGAAGGCCUUCGGGUUGUAAAGCCCUUUUGUUGGGAAAGAAAUCCAGCUGGCUAAUACCCGGUUGGGAUGACGGUACCCAAAGAAUAAGCACCGGCUAACUUCGUGCCAGCAGCCGCCGUAA